Molecule: ribosomal RNA, 478 nt
Filed under: uncultured bacterium
Lineage: Bacteria
Description: partial 16S ribosomal RNA
Rfam family: Bacterial small subunit ribosomal RNA
Source: RNAcentral
GGCGAACGCUGGCGGCGUGCUUAACACAUGCAAGUCGAACGGUAAGGCCCUUCGGGGUACACGAGUGGCGAACGGGUGAGUAACACGUGGGUGAUCUGCCCUGCACUUCGGGAUAAGCCUGGGAAACUGGGUCUAAUACCGGAUAGGACCCUGGGAUGCAUGUCCCGGGGUGGAAAGCUUUUGCGGUGUGGGAUGGGCCCGCGGCCUAUCAGCUUGUUGGUGGGGUGAUGGCCUACCAAGGCGACGACGGGUAGCCGGCCUGAGAGGGUGACCGGCCACACUGGGACUGAGAUACGGCCCAGACUCCUACGGGAGGCAGCAGUGGGGAAUAUUGCACAAUGGGCGCAAGCCUGAUGCAGCGACGCCGCGUGAGGGAUAACGGCCUUCGGGUUGUAAACCUCUUUCAGCACCGACGAAGCGCAAGUGACGGUAGGUGCAGAAGAAGGACCGGCCAACUACGUGCCAGCAGCCGCCGUAA